This 119-nucleotide ribosomal RNA is filed under the name Pteropus alecto (black flying fox). Lineage: Eukaryota; Metazoa; Chordata; Mammalia; Chiroptera; Pteropodidae. The record is from RNAcentral.
GUCUACGGCCCUGCCACCCUGAACACGCCCGAUCUCAUCUAAUCUCGGAAGCUAAGCAGGGUCGGGACUGGUUAGUACUUGGAUGGGAGACCGCCUGGGCAUACCGAGUGCUGUAGACU